ACGAACGCUGGCGGCAGGCCUAACCCCUGCAAGUCGAGCGCCCUUUCGGGGGAGCGGCGGACGGGUGAGUAACGCGUGGGAAUAUGCCCUUCUCUACGGAAUAGCCUCGGGAAACUGAGAGUAAUACCGUAUACGCCCUGUGGGGGAAAGAUUUAUCGGGGAAGGAUUAGCCCGCGUUGGAUUAGGUAGUUGGUGGGGUAAUGGCCUACCAAGCCGACGAUCCAUAGCUGGUUUGAGAGGAUGAUCAGCCACACUGGGACUGAGACACGGCCCAGACUCCUACGGGAGGCAGCAGUGGGGAAUCUUAGACAAUGGGGGCAACCCUGAUCUAGCCAUGCCGCGUGAGUGAUGAAGGCCUUAGGGUUGUAAAGCUCUUUCAGCUGGGAAGAUAAUGACGGUACCAGCAGAAGAAGCCCCGGCUAACUCCGUG
This 430-nucleotide ribosomal RNA is filed under the name uncultured bacterium. RNAcentral's name for it is "partial 16S ribosomal RNA". It matches the Rfam family "Bacterial small subunit ribosomal RNA", at positions 29 to 507 of the family's 1533-position model. The record is from RNAcentral.